This 1077-nucleotide long non-coding RNA is filed under the name Piliocolobus tephrosceles (Ugandan red Colobus). RNAcentral's name for it is "lncRNA (ENSPTEG00000012421.1)". Lineage: Eukaryota; Metazoa; Chordata; Mammalia; Primates; Cercopithecidae. The record is from RNAcentral.
AUGGAGUUUCCUAGAACUUUGGGAAAACAGAGCAGGGGUUGUCAGCAGCACCCUGGCCUUAUCUCUGAAGUGUGCACGGGUGCUGGCGGACCUGUGGGAGACCAGCCCCAUGGACUCCCCCCUCUCGUCACUGUCUUCCUCUCCAGCCAGCACGCUCAUCAUCCAGGGCUGUGGCCCCAGCCCCAUUUUAGAGAGUGCCCCUCAGUGUGGGAGCUUGCACGGCAGUGCAGGAGGAAAUGGGCCCCUGGGACUCGGGGAUGCAGGGCAGGGAGACUGCAGAGGAUCCUGGGGAGGACCCACCACUCCUGGCAGAAUUUAUCCAGGCAGGUCUGUUCCCAGAAGCCCCCAGUCUCAGGCGGUAAGGACUCAACUCUUAGCCAGGAAAUGGGAUGGGAGCCUGGCACCUGUGAGUACCCCCCAGGAGUGGGGCUCCAAGAGUGCUGGGGGCUCGGGGAGGCUGCAUGGGGCCACCCUCCUCUCCUAGGGCCACCCUCUCCAGGCACUGACCCCUGGAAACAAGGAGUGGGAGAGGGCACCCCACCCCACUGCGUCGCGGCUCUGCCAGGGAAUGUGCUCGCCCUGGCGCCCUGGUCGGGGACCCUAGGCACGUGUACGGGCCGCCACCCAGUGUGUGCUCCUGGCCCCCAGCCACCCACCUCAAGCUCCAGGUGGCCCCAACUGGCCAGAGCUGUUGCAAGAUGCUGGUCCCACCUGCUCACAGCACCUGUAGCAGAAUUUUAUCUGCCCCUGGAAGUGUCUCGAGCAGUCCUGGACUGGGCUGGGUACGGGAGGGGCUGCCGCCCAACAGUUUCCCUUAGGGCAGCAGCUGAGGUCACUGGCACACGGCAGGGGGCAGCUGGUGCCCUCAGGUCCGUGGGUGGAGAGGGUGGGGUGGGAUGGAGGCACGGCUGUAUGCGUGGCCACAGGACACGCCAGGGGGGCGCGUGGGGCGUGUGGGAGUGGUUUGGGGUUUGGGGAAGAGGCUCUGAAGAACGUCUGGCGUGCCAUGGUCCUGUCUUGACGGUGGCUGGCGGGAGGACAGCUUGGCAGGCUGCAUCUCUGGCCAGUGAUCUGUGA